CCCAUAAACACGAGGAUGAUAUCGCUGUAGUGAAGCUCUUCACCCCCAUCAUAUUUUCCAAUGAGGUGCACAGAGUCUGUCUUCCAGAAGCUACUUUUGAAGCCUUGCCUAAGAGUAAAGUGUUUGUCACUGGAUGGGGAGCACUUAAAUUAGAUGGAUUCACGGUUCCCAAAAUAGCUGUGUCCUUUGUAAAGUAAUGAAGAUUUCCAAGUAAGGUUAAGGUCCCUUUCCCAAUAUGCUACGGGAAGUUGAGGUAGAGAUCAUAAGUAAUGAUAUAUGUAAUCAAGUUCAUGUGUAUGUAUCAUCAGGAAUGAUAUGUGCUGGAUUCUUGUCAGGAAAACUAGAUGCCUGUAAGGGUGAUUCUGGAGGUCCUCUGGUUAUUGCACGUG
This is a long non-coding RNA of Homo sapiens (human), 389 nucleotides long. Lineage: Eukaryota; Metazoa; Chordata; Mammalia; Primates; Hominidae. The record is from Ensembl.